This 85-nucleotide transfer RNA is filed under the name Ferrimonas balearica DSM 9799. It matches the Rfam family "tRNA". Rfam says of the family: Transfer RNA (tRNA) molecules are approximately 80 nucleotides in length. Their secondary structure includes four short double-helical elements and three loops (D, anti-codon, and T loops). Further hydrogen bonds mediate the characteristic L-shaped molecular structure. tRNAs have two regions of fundamental functional importance: the anti-codon, which is responsible for specific mRNA codon recognition, and the 3' end, to which the tRNAs corresponding amino acid is attached (by aminoacyl-tRNA synthetases). tRNAs cope with the degeneracy of the genetic code in two manners: having more than one tRNA (with a specific anti-codon) for a particular amino acid; and 'wobble' base-pairing, i.e. permitting non-standard base-pairing at the 3rd anti-codon position. The record is from Rfam by way of RNAcentral. Lineage: Bacteria; Pseudomonadati; Pseudomonadota; Gammaproteobacteria; Alteromonadales; Ferrimonadaceae.
GGUGAGGUGGCCGAGUGGCUGAAGGCGCGCCCCUGCUAAGGGCGUAUACCGACAGGUAUCGAGGGUUCGAAUCCCUCCCUCACCG